This 424-nucleotide ribosomal RNA is filed under the name uncultured prokaryote. Its description in RNAcentral is "bacterial SSU rRNA". It matches the Rfam family "Bacterial small subunit ribosomal RNA", at positions 355 to 796 of the family's 1533-position model. The record is from RNAcentral.
UGGGGAAUCAUAGACAAUGGGCGAAAGCCUGAUCUUGCCAUGCCGCGUGAGCGAUGAAGGCCUUAGGGUUGUAAAGCUCUUUCACCGGUGAAGAUAAUGACGGUAGCCGGAGAAGAAGCCCCGGCUAACUCCGUGCCAGCAGCCGCGGUAAUACGGAGGGGGCUAGCGUUGUUCGGAAUUACUGGGCGUAAAGCGCACGUAGGCGGGCUGUUAAGUCGGGGGUGAAAUCCCGGGGCUCAACCCCGGAACUGCCUUCGAUACUGGCAGCCUAGAGGACGAGAGAGGCAAGUGGAAUGGCGAGUGUAGAGGUGAAAUUCGUAGAUAUUCGCCGGAACACCAGUGGCGAAGGCGGCUUGCUGGCUCGUUUCUGACGCUGAGGUGCGAAAGCGUGGGGAGCAAACAGGAUUAGAUACCCCCGUAGUCC